RNAcentral lists this non-coding RNA (28 nucleotides) under Mycobacterium avium. Lineage: Bacteria; Bacillati; Actinomycetota; Actinomycetes; Mycobacteriales; Mycobacteriaceae. The record is from RNAcentral. RNAcentral also lists the same sequence under 3 other names.
GAAGGUGCGGCUGGAUCACCUCCUUUCU